RNAcentral lists this long non-coding RNA (525 nucleotides) under Lathyrus oleraceus (garden pea). RNAcentral's name for it is "Pisum sativum (pea) long non-coding RNA (PSAT_LNC017224)". The record is from RNAcentral. Lineage: Eukaryota; Viridiplantae; Streptophyta; Magnoliopsida; Fabales; Fabaceae.
UUUUGUUUCACAGAAAGAUUGAGUAUUAGAUCUAUGAAUGUUUUUAAAAGAAUGCUUAUUUUUUUGUUUGAUAUAUUUAUGUAUUAUGUUUUAUUCUUUAACAUAGUAAUAAAUAUCCGUUUACUUUAAAAGAAUUUAAAUAUCUAAGGUAGAAAAUAAAACUGGAUUAUGUAAUUAUAACUUUAAUUUCAUAGGUACAUCAUGGAUAGUAAAAACCAUCCUUCUUCUCGUACCAAGACUCUGGAUUCGGCUCCAUAACAAACAAGAAUAUAAGAAUAAUCACACAAUGAAUAAGGAAAAUUAAAGAGAACAACGUUCCAAUAUGCCUGCAAAGAUGGAAAGAGGGAAUACUAACCGUUCUUAUACCUUUUUCGUCGUCCAGGAUCCCAUUUACUUUAAUUGUUCUAUCUUCCUCUUUCUCUUUUAUAUUAUAUGUAUUUUUUGGAAAAAGAUUAUCCUCGUGACAAAAAUUCUAAGAAAAAGAUUGUCCGACUUAAAAUGUAAUGAAUGAAAACAUAAAAUAAG